This is a long non-coding RNA of Cyprinus carpio carpio, 1417 nucleotides long. The record is from Ensembl. NCBI's taxonomy places the organism in Eukaryota, Metazoa, Chordata, Actinopteri, Cypriniformes, Cyprinidae.
CUCGCCUGCAUUAUUUUAUGGAAGCUGAAUAGGAUGUUUCUUGAGCUGAGUCAACACUUCAAUUUGACGGCAAAACACUCGUUUUAAGGAAACACAGCGAAUGGAAAGAUGGUUAAGUCAGCUAAUGUUAGCUCGUUCACUUCGACAAUACAAAAAAGAAAAAAAGCCUGCACAAAACACAUGCUCGGAAAACCGGAGAAACAAUUACGUUUAGCACCAAGUUCGCCACAAUCAUUGACGUUAGUGCAACAACUAAAGAAAUGUGUUUUAUCAUCCACACUGAUGAUGGUAGGACAUUUGUUUUGUUUUAUAGAUAUUUUGAAAGUUUGUGUCUUGACUCUGAGAAAAAAUGUGUGUUUUUCAGAACUUCUAUUUGCUGAAACAUCCAAGAACUCUGCUGACUUCUCAGACCUGACAGAGUUUGGUGCAUCCUCAAAUCAGACAGAUGGUGUUACUCUCACAACUUGUGAUUCUCCCCGGCCCGCAGUGAUCAGCUGAUGUACUACAAAUAUUUCCUCAUUUCUUGGAUGUCAAAAGACUUAUUUUGCAAGACUUCUCACUGAUGUUUGGAGCAGAGGUUGCUUCAAGGUUCCUGGAAAAAAUGGAACACCAGUUUUAAAAAAAAAAAAAAAAGUCAUCCAGAAGGCCAGGAACCUUAAAGAGACUGCUCUCCUAAAACAGCACCUAAAGCUGUACUGAAUGAUGAUCCAGAAUGGGACAGUGGCAUGGCUUCUCAACUUGUCCUGCUGGAUCUUCUUACUCCAAAAUCAGCUGGAAGAAAGCGGCCCAAGAAGAUCAGUGUUGGAGAGGCAACAUAUUGUAAUAGUCAUGCCAAAGUCUUGAUGAUCAUAUCCUGACCACUAAAGGAAACUGUCAACCAUAUCUUCUUGCCUCAGGGAUUUCAAAAGCACAGGUUUCCACCUUUUACAUUGUCUUGGACAGAAAAGUUUUGCCUUGUCAGUCAUGUACAUCCUUGGGUACUUUUGAUGAGACUAUGUCAAAAAUUGAUAUAGGUACAACUGAAGAAACUCCAAAAGUCAAAGAACUGAGAGCAAGGCUGUUGAACAAGCAGUAAUUGUCUUAUUCAACCAAAAUGUUAAGUUGUUUCCUCUGCACUUCAUCCUUUGGUUCAGCUUUGCAUUUGUUCAGGCACCUCAAACCAAUUCAUGGAAUGUGUCCUGGUAUCACAAGUUGUUCUUUGUUUCUUCAUCUGAUGUAUAAGUGUCUUCCUCAGGUUACACAAUCCUAUACUGCACUACUUUUUUUUAUAAACCCAUAGGCUUGAUUUUAUAUAAUGCAGUGAUGUGUUGUUGGUAAUUUUUUAUACAAUUUUACUAGCUGGCUACAUGUAUUAAAUGUAAAUGUUUUGCUGUUAGAUUUUACAGUAUUUUAUGACAGCAAUUAUUUUCAAAGUGCA